UGGGGAUUCGCCAAGUUGGUUAAGGCAUCGGAUUCUGAAUCCGACAUACGUAGGUUCGAAUCCUACAUCCCCAGCCA
Molecule: transfer RNA, 77 nt
Filed under: Eikenella corrodens
Lineage: Bacteria; Pseudomonadati; Pseudomonadota; Betaproteobacteria; Neisseriales; Neisseriaceae
Also listed under: 18 other names
Description: tRNA-Gln(ctg)
Rfam family: tRNA
About the family: Transfer RNA (tRNA) molecules are approximately 80 nucleotides in length. Their secondary structure includes four short double-helical elements and three loops (D, anti-codon, and T loops). Further hydrogen bonds mediate the characteristic L-shaped molecular structure. tRNAs have two regions of fundamental functional importance: the anti-codon, which is responsible for specific mRNA codon recognition, and the 3' end, to which the tRNAs corresponding amino acid is attached (by aminoacyl-tRNA synthetases). tRNAs cope with the degeneracy of the genetic code in two manners: having more than one tRNA (with a specific anti-codon) for a particular amino acid; and 'wobble' base-pairing, i.e. permitting non-standard base-pairing at the 3rd anti-codon position.
Source: RNAcentral